UAGUGGCGAACGGGUGAGUAACACGUGAGUAACCUGCCCCUUACUUUCCUGGAUAACUGCUCGAAAGGGUAGCUAAUACGGGAUAUUCUGGCCUUCCUGCAUGGGUUGGUUUGGAAAGGUUUUUUUCUGGUAAGGGAUGGGCUCGCGGCCUAUCAGCUUGUUGGUGGGGUGAUGGCCUACCAAGGCUUUGACGGGUAGCCGGCCUGAGAGGGUGGACGGUCACACUGGGACUGAGAUACGGCCCAGACUCC
This 251-nucleotide ribosomal RNA is filed under the name uncultured Actinomycetaceae bacterium. Its description in RNAcentral is "partial 16S ribosomal RNA". It matches the Rfam family "Bacterial small subunit ribosomal RNA", at positions 93 to 339 of the family's 1533-position model. The record is from RNAcentral. Lineage: Bacteria; Bacillati; Actinomycetota; Actinomycetes; Actinomycetales; Actinomycetaceae.